UACGAAGGGGGCUAGCGUUGCUCGGAAUCACUGGGCGUAAAGCGCACGUAGGCGGAUCUUUAAGUCAGGGGUGAAAUCCUGGAGCUCAACUCCAGAACUGCCUUUGAUACUGGGGAUCUCGAGUCCGGGAGAGGUGAGUGGAACUCCGAGUGUAGAGGUGAAAUUCGUAGAUAUUCGGAAGAACACCAGUGGCGAAGGCGGCUCACUGGUCCGGUACUGGAUGCUGAGGUGCGAAAGCGUGGGGAGCAACAGG
This 253-nucleotide ribosomal RNA is filed under the name uncultured bacterium. RNAcentral's name for it is "partial 16S ribosomal RNA". It matches the Rfam family "Bacterial small subunit ribosomal RNA", at positions 524 to 775 of the family's 1533-position model. The record is from RNAcentral.